This 230-nucleotide ribosomal RNA is filed under the name uncultured bacterium. RNAcentral describes it as "partial 16S ribosomal RNA". It matches the Rfam family "Bacterial small subunit ribosomal RNA", at positions 104 to 334 of the family's 1533-position model. The record is from RNAcentral.
CGGGGUGGAGUAAUGUCUGGGAAGCUGCCUGAUGGAGGGGGGUAACUACUGGAAACGGUAGCUAAUACCGCAUAACGUCGCAAGACCAAAGAGGGGGACCUUCGGGCCUCUUGCCAUCGGAUGUGCCCAGAUGGGAUUAGCUAGUAGGUGGGGUAACGGCUCACCUAGGCGACGAUCCCUAGCUGGUCUGAGAGGAUGACCAGCCACACUGGAACUGAGACACGGUCCAG